Molecule: ribosomal RNA, 489 nt
Filed under: uncultured bacterium
Lineage: Bacteria
Description: bacterial SSU rRNA
Rfam family: Bacterial small subunit ribosomal RNA
Source: RNAcentral
GAUGAACGCUAGCGGCAGGCCUAACACAUGCAAGUCGAGGGGUAACAUUAGGAAAGCUUGCUUUUCUGAUGACGACCGGCGCACGGGUGCGUAACGCGUAUACAACCUACCUUUUAGCGGGGAAUAGCCCAGGGAAACUUGGAUUAAUGCCCCAUAGUAUAUAGACUUCUCCUGAAGUUUAUAUUAAACAUUUAUGGCUAUUAGAUGGGUAUGCGUCCUAUUAGUUAGUUGGUAAGGUAACGGCUUACCAAGGCAGCGAUAGGUAGGGGUCCUGAGAGGGAGAUCCCCACACUGGUACUGAGACACGGACCAGACUCCUACGGGAGGCAGCAGUGAGGAAUAUUGGACAAUGGGCGAGAGCCUGAUCCAGCCAUGCCGCGUGCAGGAAGACUGCCCUAUGGGUUGUAAACUGUCUUUUACAGAGGAAGAACCCACCCCACGUGUGGGGGUUUGACGGUACUCUGCGAAUAAGGAUCGGCUAACUCCGUG